This 81-nucleotide transfer RNA is filed under the name Myxococcales bacterium. RNAcentral describes it as "tRNA-Leu". It matches the Rfam family "tRNA". Rfam says of the family: Transfer RNA (tRNA) molecules are approximately 80 nucleotides in length. The record is from RNAcentral. Lineage: Bacteria; Pseudomonadati; Myxococcota; Myxococcia; Myxococcales.
GGGCGGGUGGUGGAACGGUAGACACGCGGGUCUUAGAAGCCCGUGCCGAAAGGUGUGAGGGUUCGAUUCCCUCCCCGCCCA